AGGGGUGUAGCUCAGUGGUAGAGCCUUUGCCUAGCAUGCACAAGGCCCCAGGUUCAAACCCCCAUCUUUU
RNAcentral lists this transfer RNA (70 nucleotides) under Marmota monax (woodchuck). It matches the Rfam family "tRNA". From Rfam's summary of the family: Transfer RNA (tRNA) molecules are approximately 80 nucleotides in length. Their secondary structure includes four short double-helical elements and three loops (D, anti-codon, and T loops). Lineage: Eukaryota; Metazoa; Chordata; Mammalia; Rodentia; Sciuridae. The record is from Rfam by way of RNAcentral.